UUGUGGAGGAGGACGCCGAAGGUGGGGCUAAUGACUGGGGUGAAGUCGUAACAAGGUAGCCGUACCGGAAGGUGCGGCUGGAUCACCUCCUAACAGGGAGACAACAAAAUGUUUAAUAUUAUUAUUUUGUCACCUUAGGUCGAUCGGUAUCUCACAUUCUUAAUUUAUUAAGGAUUUUAUUUCCUAAGUUUUUCUAGGUCACACCCAUUAUUUUUCCUGGGCCAUUAGCUCAGGUGGUUAGAGCGCACCCCUGAUAAGGGUGAGGUCCCUGGUUCAAGUCCAGGAUGGCCCAUAUCUCUAUGUUGGGGGUAUAGCUCAGUUGGUAGAGCGCCUGCUUUGCAAGCAGGAUGUCAGCGGUUCGAGUCCGCUUACCUCCACUGAUUACCACCUCUUCCAUAAUGUUAUAGAGGAAAUGUUUUGAGUUGUGAUCAAAUUCUGAACGAUUCUAGCUUCCUAAUGAAUUCAUUAAGAUGCUGGACUCAUUGAAUUAAUUUCACUGUUUUCAGAGAACCUUGACAACUGCAUAGAUUAUUUUUAAAGACAAUAAGCAUCUUUAAUGAUGCAGAUUUAUUAUUUGUGCGAAUGCAUUUAAUAACAAUUCUAUUAAGCUGAUGCUUCAAUUAUUGAAGUUAUUGGUCAAGCUACAA
This 647-nucleotide unclassified non-coding RNA is filed under the name uncultured Prochlorococcus sp. RNAcentral describes it as "partial 16S-23S ribosomal RNA intergenic spacer; may also contain 16S ribosomal RNA and 23S ribosomal RNA". The stretch from base 305 to 377 matches the Rfam family "tRNA". The record is from RNAcentral. Lineage: Bacteria; Bacillati; Cyanobacteriota; Cyanophyceae; Synechococcales; Prochlorococcaceae.